CGAGCGCAUGAGUUGUGAUGGACUUGUGACUACCGGUUGUUCCCCCGCUGCUGUGCGGCCGAUUGCCGGUGCCAGUGUCCUUUCAAUUGUAGGCUAUUGUGCGAAUUGUUUUGACGAGUGCUUGCGUGCUGCUACCAGUAACACUGGAAGUUGCAUUUCUAAAUGUCGGUUUUGCCGUGCAAGCCCUUAGGCCAUGACACGUCAACUACAAAGCUUUCAUGGCGUUGCCUCAUGCAGCAGGCCUCAUAUAGGCAAGCUGCAUCAAGGCGACCUCAUGUUCGCUAUUGGUCUCGGAUGUGGCUAACUCUAAAGGCUGAAGGUGCUUGGGCACCUCAUGCCUACAAGAUAUUGUCCGAUCGGAAACAACGACAGUUGGCYUGGCUGAUGCCCCGUGCAGAAGCUAGUGCU
Molecule: unclassified non-coding RNA, 408 nt
Filed under: Paspalum cordatum
Lineage: Eukaryota; Viridiplantae; Streptophyta; Magnoliopsida; Poales; Poaceae
Description: partial external transcribed spacer
Source: RNAcentral